GAAAGACAUGAAAAGAUAUUUAACAUCAUUAAUUAUCAGAAAAAUAAAAAGUGAAACCACAAUGAGAUAUCACAUUACAGUCACUGAACAUAACGUGAAGUCGCUCAGUCUUGGACACGAUUUUGCAACUAAACUACCACCAACACUACCCCUCUUCUUAGGUAACAGGGUUAAUCAUAAACAGUAUUUUCCAAGAAAAUUCUCCAUGUGUAUAAGUUGCCCCAUGGGCUCAUCAUAAGUCCUCUAACCAUUGUGCCAGCCUGCUUCUCAGAGCCUGAUCCCAAGGGAACCAGUCUCCUGACUCAGAAACUGUCACAGUCUAAAAUUCACUAACCUAUUCAAACCACCUGUCUGCAGGAAUGGAAAACUCAGAUUCAGAGAGGGGAAGAGUCUUGUCCAAGGCCACACAGGUUAUUUUCAUUCAACCAACAGAGAUGUCAAGUAAACAUGUGUAGUGUGACAAGUACAGUGAAUCCCUUAGUUAUGGAUGCAUUCUCUUCCAAAAGUGUGUUCAUAAGGGCAGUUUGUUCAUAGGUCCAACAAAGUUAGCCCAGGUACCCAACUAACACAAUCGGCUAACACUAACUAGUUAACUAAUUGGCUAACUAACACCAUAUGGUAUACUACUGUAGUAGGUUUGUAAUGCUUUCACACAAGUAAUACAUAAAAAAACAAGCAAUCGCAAAAAAAGUAAAGAAAACAUUUUUAAUCUUACCGUACUUUGAAAAGUGCAGUAGCACAGUACAACAUCUGGCUUACAGGGGCUGGCAUCAAGUGAACAGGCAAGAAGAGCUACCGAUUGGAGGCGGUGGGAGAUGGGAGAGCUGAAGGAUUGUCAGCAACAGAGAUGGAGGGCAAGCUGCAAUUUCGCUUGUGCCUGACGUUGAUGAAACCCAUAUUUGCAUCCUUGAAAGUUCACAAUUUGAAGGUCUGUAUGUGGAGGACUUAGUGUAUAUACCUUGUUUUGGACACACUCUGGAGCUCCAGGAAAAUGAGAAUUGGUCAGAGUCUAAGGUGCCAGCCUUCCUUCUUGGGUCCCUUCCUCCUUUUCACAGCGACUCAAAGGAAGAGAAGCAGAAAGGGUGUCUCUGUAAGAAGACCAGGAGGAGCUUGGAGUGGAUUAAACUGAAGAUAAUUCAGUAAAUUCCCUAAGUCAUUUCUAUGAUGGGCUGCCUGGGAUUUACUAACCUUCAUGCGUCCCUGG
Molecule: long non-coding RNA, 1204 nt
Organism: Bos taurus (domestic cattle)
Lineage: Eukaryota; Metazoa; Chordata; Mammalia; Artiodactyla; Bovidae
Source: Ensembl